This 484-nucleotide ribosomal RNA is filed under the name uncultured bacterium. RNAcentral's name for it is "partial 16S ribosomal RNA". It matches the Rfam family "Bacterial small subunit ribosomal RNA", at positions 29 to 507 of the family's 1533-position model. The record is from RNAcentral.
AUUGAACGCUGGCGGCAUGCUUUACACAUGCAAGUCGAACGGCAGCGCGGGCUUCGGCCUGGCGGCGAGUGGCGAACGGGUGAGUAAUGCAUCGGAACGUGCCCAGUAGUGGGGGAUAGCCCGUCGAAAGCCGGAUUAAUACCUCAUACGACCUGAGGGUGAAAGCGGGGGACCGAAAGGCCUCGCGCUAUUGGAGCGGCCGAUGUCGGAUUAGCUAGUUGGUGGGGUAAAGGCUUACCAAGGCGACGAUCCGUAGCUGGUCUGAGAGGACGACCAGCCACCUUGGGACUGAGACACGGCCCAGACUCCUACGGGAGGAAGCAGUGGGGAAUUUUGGACAAUGGGGGCAACCCUGAUCCAGCCAUGCCGCGUGAGGGAAGAAGGCCUUCGGGUUGUAAAGCGCUUUUGUUCGGGAAGAAAUCCUCUGGGCUAAUACCCCGGGGGGAUGACGGUACCGGAAGAAUAAGCACCGGCUAACUACGUG